RNAcentral lists this long non-coding RNA (442 nucleotides) under Mytilus galloprovincialis (Mediterranean mussel). Lineage: Eukaryota; Metazoa; Mollusca; Bivalvia; Mytilida; Mytilidae. The record is from RNAcentral.
CAAAUUAACAGAUUUUUCCGAAUUGCAUGGUAAUAACUGAACAUGAUUUUUGAAAGUGUGAAAUUAGAACUUUAAGGUUAUAGUUUUUGUAUAAGGUAGCUUACCAUAAGUUACGGUCACAUCAACUUUAAAACUUAGUACAUAGGUUAAGUUUGAGAGAACUUUAAAAGAGAGCCCAAAGAUACCAAUGAAAUAGUUGAACUCGUCAAUUGAAAACAAACUGACAACACCAGGGCAAUAAAAAAGAAAAAAACAACCAAUAUACAAACAACUGUAAUAAAAACACAACAUAGAAAACUUAAAGCUAAGCAACUCUAAUCAAAACAAAAACUGGGUGUGAUCACAGGUGCUUGAAAAUUUUAUGCUGCAUUGCCCAUAUUUCACCGUUCACAGUACACAUGGACACAUGAUAGUACAAAAGCAGCAUGGUUCUCAGCGGACA